GUUCCGGAACCUGACCUGAGCUGGGGCCUGUGCUUCCAGCGGGUGGUGGGGGGCCUGGUGUGCUGGCAUCAAGUAAGCGGACUACCUCGGCAAAGGCUUAGGGACAAGAGACUGGCAGCCUGAACUGGCUGGGGCAUCCGGAAGGCUUAGAUCUUGUGGCCAAGGGUUCAGACCGUGGCGAAGUGGAGAGUGACAUGCAGUUGGAUGGCGGUGACUGCGUGGUCCUGCAACCCUGGUUCCAGUCUGGCAAGCAUUCUAGACCUGGCUGCUGAAGACUGACGGGGCCCAGGGUCCGCUGCCCCCACCGCCAUCACCACCUCGGAACCCAGGGUAACGCUGUCAGUCUCUGAUGACAUCAGAAGUGGGAUCCAAAGUAGAGCUUAUAAUGACACCCAGGAGUGCUGAGUGACCAAGCAAGGUACCCACCAGGCCGAUUAUGUCCAUUGUUCUCUUGGAGCAGCUGGUCAUCAUGUGUCCUGCUCUGUCACCCAGGUUGAAGUGCAGUGGGCGAUCAUGGCUCACAGCAGCCUCGACCUCCCAAGAUCAAGCAAUCCU
RNAcentral lists this small RNA (555 nucleotides) under Pongo abelii (Sumatran orangutan). RNAcentral describes it as "sense overlapping". The record is from RNAcentral. Lineage: Eukaryota; Metazoa; Chordata; Mammalia; Primates; Hominidae.